RNAcentral lists this long non-coding RNA (1006 nucleotides) under Felis catus (domestic cat). RNAcentral's name for it is "lncRNA (ENSFCAG00000049199.1)". The record is from RNAcentral. Lineage: Eukaryota; Metazoa; Chordata; Mammalia; Carnivora; Felidae.
UCCGUUUUCUCCCGGCCUCAAGUAACCUCACUUUACACUGAAGACGUGUGGGAGUUUUCAGAAGGAAAGGGAAGGGUGUUCCGGGUGGAAGGAACAGCGUCCGUGAAGGCGCAGAGGGAGAAUGGUCCAACAUCUCCUCCUGGAACCUCGCCUGGGGCCGCCGUCCUCCAGAGCGUGGAGGUCAAGGCCCUUUCUCUGAGGCGGAGGCUUGGCGGGUCCUCAGUCUUCGGGAUGGGUUUGCGCAGCAGUCCCGCAGAGUGGUUAGCGCUCGCACAGUAAAUGUGCGUGGUCCACAGAAGAGAGGUCCCCCCAGGGCUGAGCAGUGGCCCCGGGGAAGCUCCGAGCCCCUUCUAGGCGCUGACACGCACUGCUGAUGACUUUUCUGUUGACAUAUGGCAUUCUAGCCAACUAGUUGUUACAAUUACCAGUCACAGAGAUAACGGACUAGUUGUUGCAAUCACAGGUCACGGAGAUUUAAGUCUGGAAGCGACUUUCCAGGACCUCUAGCCCAGCGCUCUCAAUAACCAGCACGACGGGAUGUUAGGUGCUCCUUAGCGAUGCUGCUCCAAGGUCUUUGGGCUCACGACCUGCCCUUUGCUCUGCGCCUGACCUCAGAGGGGGCCGUAGUGGGACGGUCACUGUGGUCACAAGAGAAGGUGGUCCUGUGGAUGGUGGGCGUGUUGGCCUUUACGGAGCCCAGAGCCAUGGAAAGGGCACCCUGGGGCUGGCAGAAUUCAGGGUGAUCUGGCUGAAGAUUCAGAGGUACCUGUUGGUUUAUGGGGAAACCGAUCACAUCCACUCGGGGGCCAUCGACGCCCACGACCUGAGGGUGGCCCUCAGGAAAGCAGCGGUGGCCACGAUGUGCGGCUGGACGGGUGCCAGGGCCACGGGCCUAGUUCAGUGCCAGGCUCGUCCUGAGGCGGGGCGGCUCCCAGGAUUGCCAUGGGGUGACAAUAAGACCUUGGAGGAGGCUGGCCGUGUCAACCAGAGCCCCACCCUGCCGUGA